AGGGCACCACCAGGAGUGGAGCCUGCGGCUUAAUUUGACUCAACACGGGGAAACUCACCAGGUCCAGACAUAACUAGGAUUGACAGAUUGAUAGCUCUUUCUUGAUUUUAUGGGUGGUGGUGCAUGGCCGUUCUUAGUUGGUGGAGUGAUUUGUCUGGUUAAUUCCGAUAACGAACGAGACCUUAACCUGCUAAAUAGUCAGGCCGGCUUUUGCUGGUCGCGGACUUCUUAGAGGGACUGUCGGCGUCUAGCCGACGGAAGUUUGAGGCA
This 270-nucleotide ribosomal RNA is filed under the name uncultured eukaryote. Its description in RNAcentral is "partial small subunit ribosomal RNA". It matches the Rfam family "Eukaryotic small subunit ribosomal RNA", at positions 1161 to 1452 of the family's 1831-position model. The record is from RNAcentral.